RNAcentral lists this ribosomal RNA (20 nucleotides) under Opuntia ficus-indica. RNAcentral's name for it is "26S ribosomal RNA". The record is from RNAcentral. Lineage: Eukaryota; Viridiplantae; Streptophyta; Magnoliopsida; Caryophyllales; Cactaceae.
GCACCCGUCAGGCGGGGCUA